RNAcentral lists this ribosomal RNA (362 nucleotides) under uncultured bacterium. Its description in RNAcentral is "bacterial SSU rRNA". It matches the Rfam family "Bacterial small subunit ribosomal RNA", at positions 29 to 416 of the family's 1533-position model. The record is from RNAcentral.
AACGAACGCUGGCGGCAUGCCUAACACAUGCAAGUCGAACGAGACCUUCGGGUCUAGUGGCGCACGGGUGCGUAACACGUGGGAAUUUGCCUCGGGGUAUGGAAUAACUCAGGGAAACUUGAGCUAAUACCAUAUAAUGUCUUCGGACCAAAGAUUUAUCGCCCUGAGAUAAGCCCGCGUAGGAUUAGCUAGUUGGUGGGGUAAAAGGCCUCACCAAGGCGACGAUCCUUAGCUGGUCUGAGAGGAUGAUCAGCCACACUGGGACUGAGACACGGCCCAGACUCCUACGGGAGGCAGCAGUGGGGAAUAUUGGACAAUGGGCGAAAGCCUGAUCCAGCAAUGCCGCGUGAGUGAUGAAGGCC